GAAACAAUAAGCAUCAACUGUAAAAUUUUGAAGAAGAAAUCCAAUUAAUCACCAACAAUCUAAAGUCAUCGAAGGAUACCAUUCAGGCUAAUACGAUACCAAAGAUAAAAUCCCGUAGCACUCCCGCCAGGCUUCCAUCUGUAAGGAAACGGACGCCAGCACGGAGAUCCCUCAAUGACCCCAUGACCGCAACCCAGACGGCUCGCAAUGACCCCAUGAUCGCAACUCUGGCGGGUUUGGACAACGCCACUACUAGCAUCCUGACUUGCGCUGCCACUGGGUUCCCAACAUUCUCCAGUGUCCUCAGCCUAACGCAUAAUUUGAGGCUGCCACUUCAGCACCAAUGGCCAUUUCCCCAUUGAUAACUCAAGAUCACAACUGUUCCCAGGGCCUGCUGAAAGCUUGGGAUUAGGUGGUCAACUGUUCCCAGGGUCCACCUAACCUAGCCAUUAACCCGCCUUAAUCAUAUACAUAUAUGAUACAUUAUAGUUUAUGCAUUUGAUAACAUUGACUUUUUUCAAUAAUUGACAUUAACUAUUGAUUGCAAGCAUUAUUGUGAUUAUUAUAUUGCUUGAACAAUGUUUGCAUUGAUUAUCAUGAUUGAUUGACAUUGAUUGAACACUAAUCUUGAUUUUGUUUAUUGUACAGCCAUAUACCUGCUCACCAAGUGGGUGGCAGGUCGGUUGUUAAACUAUUGGUAGGUUUUGUAAAAUAAAU
Molecule: long non-coding RNA, 717 nt
Organism: Magallana angulata
Lineage: Eukaryota; Metazoa; Mollusca; Bivalvia; Ostreida; Ostreidae
Exons: 3
Source: RefSeq, a predicted model, not a curated record